Molecule: ribosomal RNA, 1372 nt
Filed under: uncultured bacterium
Lineage: Bacteria
Description: bacterial SSU rRNA
Rfam family: Bacterial small subunit ribosomal RNA
Source: RNAcentral
GAUGAACGCUGGCGGCGUGCCUAAUACAUGCAAGUCGAGCGAACGGACGAGAAGCUUGCUUUUCUGAUGUUAGCGGCGGACGGGUGAGUAACACGUGGAUAACCUACCUAUAAGACUGGGAUAACUUCGGGAAACCGGAGCUAAUACCGGAUAAUAUUUUGAACCGCAUGGUUCAAAAGUGAAAGACGGUCUUGCUGUCACUUAUAGAUGGAUCCGCGCUGCAUUAGCUAGUUGGUAAGGUAACGGCUUACCAAGGCAACGAUGCAUAGCCGACCUGAGAGGGUGAUCGGCCACACUGGAACUGAGACACGGUCCAGACUCCUACGGGAGGCAGCAGUAGGGAAUCUUCCGCAAUGGGCGAAAGCCUGACGGAGCAACGCCGCGUGAGUGAUGAAGGUCUUCGGAUCGUAGAACUCUGUUAUUAGGGAAGAACAUAUGUGUAAGUAACUGUGCACAUCUUGACGGUACCUAAUCAGAAAGCCACGGCUAACUACGUGCCAGCAGCCGCGGUAAUACGUAGGUGGCAAGCGGUAUCCGGAAUUAUUGGGCGUAAAGCGCGCGUAGGCGGUUUUUUAAGUCUGAUGUGAAAGCCCACGGCUCAACCGUGGAGGGUCAUUGGAAACUGGAAAACUUGAGUGCAGAAGAGGAAAGUGGAAUUCCAUGUGUAGCGGUGAAAUGCGCAGAGAUGUGGAGGAACACCAGUGGCGAAGGCGACUUUCUGGUCUGUAACUGACGCUGAUGUGCGAAAGCGUGGGGAUCAAACAGGAUUAGAUACCCUGGUAGUCCACGCCGUAAACGAUGAGUGCUAAGUGUUAGGGGGUUUCCGCCCCUUAGUGCUGCAGCUAACGCAUUAAGCACUCCGCCUGGGGAGUACGACCGCAAGGUUGAAACUCAAAGGAAUUGACGGGGGCCCGCACAAGCGGUGGAGCAUGUGGUUUAAUUCGAAGCAACGCGAAGAACCUUACCAAAUCUUGACAUCCUUUGACAACUCUAGAGAUAGAGCCUUCCCCUUCGGGGGACAAAGUGACAGGUGGUGCAUGGUUGUCGUCAGCUCGUGUCGUGAGAUGUUGGGUUAAGUCCCGCAACGAGCGCAACCCUUAAGCUUAGUUGCCAUCAUUAAGUUGGGCACUCUAAGUUGACUGCCGGUGACAAACCGGAGGAAGGUGGGGAUGACGUCAAAUCAUCAUGCCCCUUAUGAUUUGGGCUACACACGUGCUACAAUGGACAAUACAAAGGGCAGCGAAACCGCGAGGUCAAGCAAAUCCCAUAAAGUUGUUCUCAGUUCGGAUUGUAGUCUGCAACUCGACUACAUGAAGCUGGAAUCGCUAGUAAUCGUAGAUCAGCAUGCUGCGGUGAAUACGUUCCCGGGUCU